CAGCCGCCACGGUAACACGUAGGGUGCAAGCGUUAAUCGGAAUUACUGGGCGUAAAGCGUGCGCAGGCGGUUUGUUAAGACAGAUGUGAAAUCCCCGGGCUCAACCUGGGAACUGCAUUUGUGACUGGCAAGCUAGAGUGUGGCAGAGGGGGGUGGAAUUCCGCGUGUAGCAGUGAAAUGCGUAGAUAUGCGGAGGAACACCGAUGGCGAAGGCAGCCCCCUGGGCCAACACUGACGCUCAUGCACGAAAGCGUGGGGAGCAAACAGGAUUAGAGACCCCUGUAGUCCCUGUCUCUUAUAC
Molecule: ribosomal RNA, 301 nt
Filed under: uncultured bacterium
Lineage: Bacteria
Description: partial 16S ribosomal RNA
Rfam family: Bacterial small subunit ribosomal RNA
Source: RNAcentral